Molecule: long non-coding RNA, 1426 nt
Filed under: Homo sapiens (human)
Lineage: Eukaryota; Metazoa; Chordata; Mammalia; Primates; Hominidae
Description: HSALNT0089626
Source: RNAcentral
CACACCCUGUAUAAUGUCUGAGCAGGUUUUCUGCAUAGUUGCCAGUGCUUAUUUUUACAAUCUCUAACAUAACAGCUUCAAAUAUAAACACAAACAUAGCCAGCAUGAACGACAGCAUCUGCAUUGGCCACGGAGCUAAAACAGGCUCUUAGAAAUGUGCUUGACAUUUCCCGUGGCAGCUUCACAGCCUCCUUGGAAAGCCUUGGUCCACCUCUCUGCUGCUGACAAGCUCUGAUUUGGAUGAAGAAAAGGAGGCUCAGAGAGUUUAAGAAACUUACCCUCCUCACACCAUGGAUAACAGGCAGAGCCAAAAGCAAAUGCAGAUGAAGACGUUGAUGCUCAAAAGUCGCUAAUGAGAAGCUGAGCCAAGAGUCAGAUCCAAAGUCCUUCCAGCUCUGAAGCCUGCAUUGUUUCCAACGCAUGAUGUUGUCUGAAUGGCUCAGUGAUGGCUUGGCUGAAGAAGACUUCAUGAUCACUCCCAUUUUGAAGAUCAGCACAUUGAGGUUCAGAGUGGUGAAAUGACUUGAAGUUCCUGUGGAGAGUAAAUGGGAAACAUCAGAGGAAUGAUUUGAACCCUGGUCUGUCCACCUUCAGUGCCCAUAUUUUGUCCUCCAUGCUUUGAAGCACAAAUCAUGAUUCAGGUGAAGAAAGAUAUUUUAAGAGCUAUGAAGAUUGCUGGUAUUCUCAACAACAAGAGCUCUGUGGUCACAUGUGAGUCUAGUUUGGGUUGUUGCUUUUCAAACUUAUUUGAUUACAAAACUAUAGAUGUCAAUUAUUUUGCAAAAUGCUUAGUGCUGGAGAUGAUGAGUGCCUAGAUGUAAGCAUCUGCUGCUGGGUUUUGCUUUCAGAAGACACAGAGAAAAAUACAAAUUUAUCAAACCUAUUAGCCUAAGAUUAUUGUUAUCAUGAAGCAUUUUUGUUUAUAAAAGUAUUUCCUUUAAUAAGCAUAAGCAUUAGCAGCCCCAUUCACCAACUGUCAACUUGGUGCCUACUCAGAGCAGUGCUUCUACACCCCGCCACCUCCUGCCAGCUGCUGGGGUCCCUGCUCCCUGCUCAGGAGCUCACUGUGGAAUGGAUCUGAAGGUGCAGCCUGGGCAUUGAGAGUUUCAAAAGCUCCCCACAUGGUCCUAACAUGCAGCCAGAAUUCAGAACUAUUGAUUUAGAUUGGUAGGGAGACUAGGAGAGUAGGGAAGAAGAAAUCCAUAGUCUAAAGGGUUAAGGAAGCUCUUAGAGUGACCAACCCAUUCCAGUUUGCCAGGGAUUGUUCUGAAUUGAAAACUGAAAAUCCUGUGUUUUGUGAAACCCCUCAGUCCCAGGCAAACCAGGGUGGCUGGUGACCCAUGGUACAUUUCCGGGUGUUAGGUAAAGACAAAGGCUCUCAAAUGACAAUCUUUGUCUAUGGGAAAUAGACAAAACCUCUCUUUAC